RNAcentral lists this ribosomal RNA (271 nucleotides) under uncultured archaeon. Its description in RNAcentral is "partial 16S ribosomal RNA". It matches the Rfam family "Archaeal small subunit ribosomal RNA", at positions 477 to 747 of the family's 1478-position model. The record is from RNAcentral.
CAGCGCCACAAGUGGCAACCACGUUUAUUGGGCCUAAAGCGUCCGUAGCCGGUUUGGUUAAUCUCUUGUGAAAUCGACAAGCUUAACUUGUCGGCGUGCUUGAGACACUGCCAAACUAGAGACCGGGAGGAGUCAGAGGUAUUCCAGGGGGAGCGGUAAAAUGUGAUAAUCCUUGGAGGACCAUCUAUGGCGAAGGCAUCUGACCAGAACGGAUCUGACGGUGAGGGACGAAGGCUAGGGGAGCGAACCGGAUUAGAUACCCGAGUAGUCC